This 234-nucleotide ribosomal RNA is filed under the name uncultured bacterium. Its description in RNAcentral is "partial 16S ribosomal RNA". It matches the Rfam family "Bacterial small subunit ribosomal RNA", at positions 15 to 240 of the family's 1533-position model. The record is from RNAcentral.
GAUCAUGGCUCAGGAUGAACGCUAGCUACAGGCUUAACACAUGCAAGUCGAGGGGCAGCAUGUUGGUUGCUUGCAACCAACGAUGGCGACCGGCGCACGGGUGAGUAACGCGUAUCCAACCUUCCGCAUACUCGGGAAUAGCCUUUCGAAAGAAAGAUUAAUGCCCGACGGUUUCCCGAAUCCGCAUGAGAGCGGGAAUAAAGAUUCAUCGGUGUGCGAUGGGGAUGCGUCCCA